UCACUCAUGGCCGUUUGUUAUUUCUUUUGUCUUCAUUGACAAAAGUUUAUAAAAGAGAAAGGUGAGUACGAACAGUAAGGGAGAAUGAAAGAUUAGGAAAUAAAAGGAAGGAGAAAAACAAGAGAAAUACUUUAGUGUGGGUGUAGAUCAACGGUGAAAUAAUGUCGGAUCGAUAUGAAAUUUUAGUAUGAUAAUCAUGAGAGUCAAAUCUUCAUAUCUAGUGGUCUCAAUUUCAAUUUGAGGUAAGUAAGAGGUAUACAAUAUACUUUCCAAAAUUUCGGAGUUAUUUCUUCGAUUAUCUAAUUUUAUACUCUUUUUGAGCAAGUGUGCUAUCUGUUAAAAUCC
This 345-nucleotide long non-coding RNA is filed under the name Actinidia chinensis (golden kiwifruit). RNAcentral's name for it is "long non-coding RNA (ACHI_LNC003601)". Lineage: Eukaryota; Viridiplantae; Streptophyta; Magnoliopsida; Ericales; Actinidiaceae. The record is from RNAcentral.